CUUCAAACCACCUAGGGCUCUCGUUAAAAAUGAGGAUUCUGAUUCAGUAGAUCUCGGGAAGUGCCUGAGACUUUGCAUUUUUAACAAGCACCCAAGAGAUGUCACA
RNAcentral lists this microRNA precursor (106 nucleotides) under Marmota monax (woodchuck). Lineage: Eukaryota; Metazoa; Chordata; Mammalia; Rodentia; Sciuridae. The record is from RNAcentral.